GACGAACGCUGGCGGCGUGCCUAAUACAUGCAAGUCGAACGAGAGCGACCGGUGCUUGCACUGCUCAAUCUAGUGGCGAACGGGUGAGUAACACGUGGGUAACCUGCCCAUCAGAGGGGGAUAACAUCCGGAAACGGAUGCUAAAACCGCAUAGGUCUUCGAGCCGCAUGGCUUGAAGAGGAAAAGCGGCGCAAGCUUCUGCUGAUGGAUGGUCCCGCGGUGCAUUAGCUAGUUGGUGAGGUAACGGCUCACCAAGGCCGUGAUGCAUAGCCGACCUGAGAGGGUGAUCGGCCACAUUGGGACUGAGACACGGCCCAAACUCCUACGGGAGGCAGCAGUAGGGAAUCUUCCGCAAUGGACGCAAGUCUGACGGAGCAACGCCGCGUGAGUGAAGAAGGUUUUCGGAUCGUAAAACUCUGUUGUUAGAGAAGAACAAGUGCUAGAGUAACUGUUAGCGCCUUGACGGUAUCUAACCAGAAAGCCACGGCUAACUACGUG
Molecule: ribosomal RNA, 498 nt
Filed under: uncultured bacterium
Lineage: Bacteria
Description: partial 16S ribosomal RNA
Rfam family: Bacterial small subunit ribosomal RNA
Source: RNAcentral